UGAUUGUGUGUACAUGAUUGGGGUCAUGUUACAUAAGAUGGUAGCACCCAUCUUUCUCCCCCUCCCCCAGUUUAGCUUUGAGGGCGCAGAUGGCCAUGUUAGAGGACUCUGCAUGGCAAGAAAUACAGGCAGCCUCUCAGAGCUGAGGGCAGCCUCCAGCCAACAGCCAACAAAAAACUUGAAGCUCUCAGUCCUACGACCUCAAGGAACUGAAUUCUGCCAUUAACAUGAGUGAACUUGGAAGUGAGUCCUUCCCCAUCUGAACCCAGGCUCUGAGAAGCUGACUUUUAUUGAUCGCAUAAACGGGGAUGCUUUGAGCUCUAACUUCUGGUUGGCUGAAGCAAUGACAGCCGACAGCAGGACAUCAAAAAGGGGAUGAAGAAUGGAGCUUGAAGGGUAUUCCUGUAGCCCCUUCCUGGCUGGAUCACAACAGGCUGGCUAGGUUGCCUUAUCAAACUGAAACCGCCUUUGCAAAAUUAUCACUGAGACGGUGAAAGAGUUUUAACUUAACCGACUCCAUCUUGCUUCUAACCUCCUUGUUCGUUCAGCAUAGGCUGAACUAACUUUGAGAGAAACUUAUAGUUUAAAACAAAGAUGAUAACAGCCCUUUCCCAAAGCACACCUCCUUCUUGCCUGGGGACUAGAUUCCCUUUGUAGGACUAACAUUAGCUACAAGAUUAGAAAUUAUGGUUUAAGAGUCAUGCAACUAGAGGCUUCAAGAUUUUCUUCAAAUAUCUCAGUGCUUGAGAUAUUUUCCAGACCCUGCAAUUGCCGGAUCAGCUGGCACCACCCAGAUGGAUAAACUGGCUAAUCUGAUCUUGUGGCUCCCACCCAGGAAGUGACUCAGCACAAGAAGACAGCUUCAACUCCCUAUGAUUUCAUUUCCGUCCUGACCAAUCAGCACUCCCGGGUCACUGGCUUCCCCCAACCCACCAAUUUAUCCUUAAAGAUUCUGCUCCUGGCUGGGCGUGGUGACUCGCACCUGUAAUCCCAGCACUUUUGGAGGUUGAGGUGGGUGGAUCACCCGAGGUCAGGAGUUCGAGACCAGCCUGACCAACAUAGUGAAACCCCGUCUCUAUUAAAAAUACAAAAUUAGCCGGGCGUGGUGGCACAUGCCUGUAAUCUCAGCUACUUGGUAGGCUGAGGCAGGAGAAUCACUUGAACCCAGGAGGCAGAGGUUGCAGUGAGCCAAGACAGCGCCACUGCACUCCAGCCUGGGUGACAGAGCAAGACUCUGAAAAAAAAACACAAACAAAAAAAAACUCUGCUCCCCAAAUGCUUGGGGAGACUGAUUUGAGUAAUAAUAAAACUGUCUCCCGCACAGCUGGCUCUGUGUGAAUUACUCUUUCUCUAUUGUA
This 1358-nucleotide long non-coding RNA is filed under the name Homo sapiens (human). RNAcentral describes it as "HSALNT0187457". Lineage: Eukaryota; Metazoa; Chordata; Mammalia; Primates; Hominidae. The record is from RNAcentral.